CCAGAACGUAGCUUAAUCACCU
This 22-nucleotide transfer RNA is filed under the name Dremomys rufigenis belfieldi. RNAcentral's name for it is "partial tRNA-Val". The record is from RNAcentral. Lineage: Eukaryota; Metazoa; Chordata; Mammalia; Rodentia; Sciuridae.